This is a long non-coding RNA of Ricinus communis (castor bean), 307 nucleotides long. RefSeq lists it as uncharacterized. NCBI's taxonomy places the organism in Eukaryota, Viridiplantae, Streptophyta, Magnoliopsida, Malpighiales, Euphorbiaceae. The transcript is spliced from 2 exons. The record is from RefSeq and is a predicted model, not a curated record.
GGAAUUGUUCAGCUUUGGAGUAUUGAAAGAAAUUGCAUAGUUACACAGUUUAUAGUGUUGUUCAUGAGAUUAUCAAGACGCGAUUAUCAUGAUGAUGAUGGAUGAAAAUGUGAAUGGAAGAAAGACACAUGAGAAGUGAACCCAUCAUGGAGUAGUUUACAAGUGGGUUUUUCCCCAAGUCCUUUGAGGAAAGGAAGGGGUGGAUUCAUUCAAUGUUCUAGAGCAGGAAGGAACAAAUUUAGCUUUUCGAUAUCGGCCAAGCUGUAAAGCCACACCACUUCUAAUAUAAGUCCUAUAUUUAUGCAAA